Molecule: transfer RNA, 72 nt
Filed under: Ovis aries (sheep)
Lineage: Eukaryota; Metazoa; Chordata; Mammalia; Artiodactyla; Bovidae
Rfam family: tRNA
About the family: Transfer RNA (tRNA) molecules are approximately 80 nucleotides in length. Their secondary structure includes four short double-helical elements and three loops (D, anti-codon, and T loops).
Source: Rfam by way of RNAcentral
UCCCUGGUGGCUCAGAGGUUAAAGCGUCUGCCUGCAAUGCAGAAGACCUGGGUUCGAUCCCUAGGUAGGGGA